RNAcentral lists this ribosomal RNA (492 nucleotides) under uncultured bacterium. RNAcentral describes it as "partial 16S ribosomal RNA". It matches the Rfam family "Bacterial small subunit ribosomal RNA", at positions 29 to 507 of the family's 1533-position model. The record is from RNAcentral.
AGUGAACGCUGGCGGUAUGCCUAACACAUGCAAGUCGAACGGCCGCACAGUAAGAUCUUGCUCUUACGGGUGGCGAGUGGCGGACGGGUGAGGAAUACAUCGGAAUCUACUUUUUCUUGGGGGAUAACGUAGGGAAACUUACGCUAAUACCGCAUACGACCUACGGGAUUAUUCAGGGGUUCUUCGUACCUUGCGCGAUUGAAUUAGCCGAUGUCGGAUUAGCUAGUUGGCUGGGUAAAGGCCCACCAAGGCGACGAUCCGUAGCUGGUCUGAGAGGAUGAUCAGCCACACUGGAACUGAGACACGGUCCAGACUCCUACGGGAGGAAGCAGUGGGGAAUAUUGGACAAUGGGCGAAAGCCUGAUCCAGCCAUACCGCGUGGGUGAAGAAGGCCUUCGGGUUGUAAAGCCCUUUUGUUGGGAAAGAAAAGCAGCAGGUUAAUACGCCGCUGUUCUGACGGUACCCAAAGAAUAAGCACCGGCUAACUUCGUG